GUUAGGUGUGUUGGUGCGCACCUGUAAUCCCAGCUACUUGGAGGCUGAGGCAGUAGGAUCACAAGUUCAUGAUCAGCCUAAGCCACUUAGUGAGACCCUAUCUCAA
Molecule: small RNA, 106 nt
Filed under: Marmota monax (woodchuck)
Lineage: Eukaryota; Metazoa; Chordata; Mammalia; Rodentia; Sciuridae
Source: RNAcentral